Molecule: ribosomal RNA, 526 nt
Filed under: uncultured bacterium
Lineage: Bacteria
Description: bacterial SSU rRNA
Rfam family: Bacterial small subunit ribosomal RNA
Source: RNAcentral
GACGAACGCUGGCGGCGUGCCUAAUACAUGCAAGUCGAACGCAUUUUCUUUCACCGUAGCUUGCUACACCGAAAGAAAAUGAGUGGCGAACGGGUGAGUAACACGUGGGUAACCUGCCCAUCAGCGGGGGAUAACACUUGGAAACAGGUGCUAAUACCGCAUAAUUCCAUUUACUGCAUGGUAGAUGGAUGAAAGGCGCUUUUGCGUCACUGAUGGAUGGACCCGCGGUGCAUUAGCUAGUUGGUGGGGUAACGGCCUACCAAGGCUGCGAUGCAUAGCCGACCUGAGAGGGUGAUCGGCCACACUGGGACUGAGACACGGCCCAGACUCCUACGGGAGGCAGCAGUAGGGAAUCUUCGGCAAUGGACGCAAGUCUGACCGAGCAACGCCGCGUGAGUGAAGAAGGUUUUCGGAUCGUAAAACUCUGUUGUUAGAAAAGAACAAGGAUGAGAGUGGAAAGUUCAUCCCUUGACGGUAUCUAACCAGAAAGCCACGGCUAACUACGUGCCAGCAGCCGCGGUAACAC